Long non-coding RNA from Homo sapiens (human), 651 nucleotides. NCBI's taxonomy places the organism in Eukaryota, Metazoa, Chordata, Mammalia, Primates, Hominidae. The record is from Ensembl.
CUAGAGGCAACAACACGGAUGGAUCUUACAAGCCUGAUGUGGAACAAGAGAAGCCUGUCCAGAGACUAAGUGAAUGGAUUUAUGUGGUAUGCAAAAACAGGCAAAACCAAAUCAUAGUGUUUUGGGAGGUAUGCUUACAUAGUAAAGCUCUGAAGGAAAACAAAGAAAAGGCGACUAAAGAGAAUGACAACUUACACAAUGCAGAAUCCUGGAUUGGAUCCUAGAUCCAAUCAACGUGUAGGGAAGCCUUUUUCGGCAAGGCACAGUGGCUCAUACCUGUAAUCCCAGCACUCUGGGAGGCUGAGGCAGGAGGAUAACUUGAACCCAGGAGUUUGAGAACAGCCUGGGCAACAUGGGGAGACCUCGUCUUUUAUUUUUUUCUAUUAUUUAUUUAUUUUUUAAAAUGCCUUUUUCCCAGAUGCAAACUUACUCAAAACCCAACACAAAUCAGAAAAGUAAACCUUCUCUGGCUAAAGCAGAGGCUAGGAUCCAGCUCAGCCUAUCUCAAACCCUUGUGAAUCAGUGCCAUAAAACUUGAGGACUGCAGAAAACAGUGUAAAAGCCAAAACGACUACUUUGCUGCUUCAUCAAGCAAAGAAACAAAGGAUCAGAGAGGGUGGGACCCUGACCAGGAUUACACAGGUGAGAGAC